RNAcentral lists this ribosomal RNA (910 nucleotides) under uncultured archaeon. RNAcentral describes it as "bacterial SSU rRNA". It matches the Rfam family "Archaeal small subunit ribosomal RNA", at positions 1 to 921 of the family's 1478-position model. The record is from RNAcentral.
UUCCGGUUGAUCCCGCCGGACCUGACUGCUAUCGGAUUGAUACUAAGCCAUGCGAGUCAUUGUAGCAAUACAAGGCGGACGGCUCAGUAACGCGUAGUCAACCUAACCUAUGGACGGGAAUAACCUCGGGAAACUGGGAAUAAUGCCCGAUAGAACACUAUGCCUGGAAUGGUUUGUGUUCCAAAUGAUUUAUCGCCGUAGGAUGGGACUGCGGCCUAUCAGUUUGUUGGUGAGGUAAUGGCCCACCAAGACUAUUACAGGUACGGGCUCUGAGAGGAGUAGCCCGGAGAUGGGUACUGAGACACGGACCCAGGCCCUAUGGGGCGCAGCAGGCGAGAAAACUUUGCAAUGUGCGAAAGCACGACAAGGUUAAUCCGAGUGGUUUGUGCUAAACAGACCUUUUGUUAGUCCUAGAAACACUAACGAAUAAGGGGUGGGCAAGUUCUGGUGUCAGCCGCCGCGGUAAAACCAGCACCUCAAGUGGUCAGGAUGAUUAUUGGGCCUAAAGCAUCCGUAGCCGGCUCUGUAAGUUUUCGGUUAAAUCUGUAUGCUCAACAUACAGGCUGCCGGGAAUACUGCAGAGCUAGGGAGUGGGAGAGGUAGACGGUACUCGGUAGGAAGGGGUAAAAUCCUUUGAUCUAUUGAUGACCACCUGUGGCGAAGGCGGUCUACCAGAACACGUCCGACGGUGAGGGAUGAAAGCUGGGGGAGCAAACCGGAUUAGAUACCCGGGUAGUCCCAGCUGUAAACUAUGCAAACUCAGUGAUGCAUUGGCUUGUGGCCAAUGCAGUGCUGCAGGGAAGCCGUUAAGUUUGCCGCCUGGGAAGUACGUACGCAAGUAUGAAACUUAAAGGAAUUGGCGGGGGAGCACACAGGGGUGAAGCCUGCGGUUCAUUGGAGUCACGGCGGG